RNAcentral lists this ribosomal RNA (614 nucleotides) under Insulatricha hippai. RNAcentral describes it as "eukaryotic LSU rRNA". It matches the Rfam family "Eukaryotic large subunit ribosomal RNA", at positions 388 to 823 of the family's 3401-position model. The record is from RNAcentral. Lineage: Eukaryota; Metazoa; Arthropoda; Insecta; Diptera; Rangomaramidae.
UUCAAGAGUACGUGAAACCGCAUAGGGGUUAAGCCCGAUGAACCUGAAUAUCUGAAUUGAGAAAUUCAAUACUACUUUAGUAAUUUAUAUUUAAAACAUAAAUGAACAAUGGUAUGCACUUUUCUCAUAGUAAGGACAUUGCAAUCCAUUGGUAUAUCUUUGUGUAGAUUGUCUAUUAAACGGCCUAGAAUGGUUAGUUUGUUCUAUCUGUGGCACUAGUUUGUCAUAUGAACAAUAUCAAUUUCUGGUGACCUAAUAAACAGCUGAUGGAGCUAAACAAUCAUGCAUCCAUGCAAUAUGUAUCACGGUUUAUAUUAAAUUUAUUUUUUGUAAAUGCAGUGAUAGCAUGUAUUUGAUUAGCAAUGCGAUAGAUUUGGGAUACCUUCGGGACCCGUCUUGAAACACGGACCAAGAAGUCUAACAUGUGUGUAAGUCAUUGGGUAUAUUGUUGAAACCUAAAGGCGGAAUUAAAAUAACUAUAUUUAUGGGAUUACAAGUAAUUUAAAUUUAUUAAUUACUUCUCCAUCCCGGGGCGUUCUAUACGAACAUGGUUUAAGCAAUUGGAUCCUCUGUUCAGGAGCGUACCUUGAACAUACAUGCUGUGACCCGAAAGA